GACGAACGCUGGCGGCGUGCCUAAUACAUGCAAGUAGAACGCUGAAGCGAGGAGCUUGCUCUUCUUGGGUGAGUCGCGAACGGGUGAGUAACGCGUAGGUAACCUGCCUUGUAGCGGGGGAUAACUAUUGGAAACGAUAGCUAAUACCGCAUAACAAUGGAUGACACAUGUCAUUUAUUUGAAAGGGGCAAUUGCUCCACUACAAGAUGGACCUGCGUGUAUUAGCUAGUAGGUUAGGUAACGGCUCACCUAGGCGACGGUACAUAGCCGACCUGAGAGGGUGGUCGGCCAGACUGGGAAGGGGACACGGCCCAGACUGCAACGGGAGGCGGCAGAAGGGAAUCUUGGGGGAAGGGGGGAACACUAACCGAGAAAGGCCGCGAGAGUGAAGAAGGAUUUCGGAUCGUGAAGCUCUGUUGUAAGGGAAGAAAGAGUGUGAGAGUGGAAAGUUCACACUGGGACGGUAACUUACCAGAAAGGGACGGCUAACUACGUG
RNAcentral lists this ribosomal RNA (496 nucleotides) under uncultured bacterium. Its description in RNAcentral is "partial 16S ribosomal RNA". It matches the Rfam family "Bacterial small subunit ribosomal RNA", at positions 28 to 507 of the family's 1533-position model. The record is from RNAcentral.